Molecule: non-coding RNA, 986 nt
Organism: Paramisgurnus dabryanus
Lineage: Eukaryota; Metazoa; Chordata; Actinopteri; Cypriniformes; Cobitidae
Source: RefSeq, a predicted model, not a curated record
GGUAUAGAAAAUACACUGUUAAAUAUAAGAAUUCACACAAAAUUGUAUUUAUAUCUCAUAUGGUUACCUGAUGUAAAAAUGAGCGCUUCCCCUUUAAGAGUUGUGAUGUCACAUGUGACUUAACUUCCUGUGCUGCUACCUCCUCUUCCCUUUUGUACUGUUAUCUUGUGGAAGAGGUAGGUUUUUCUUUGGUCUCCUGAUAUUUUAUUUAUUUUUAAUCUUCUGAACUUAUAUUUUCACUUAAAUUAAUUUUGUAUAAUGUUAUUUUACUUAUCUGUGUGGUUAAUUGUGUCAUUUUAUACUUUUGAAUAAUAAUCUUAUCUUUAAUUGUGUGGAAGUAAGAGCACAUGGUGAUAAAUGUACAACAUGUGUAUUUUAGAAUCAAAAGGGCAUUACCAUCUAAAAGAGGCUGCUUAUUUGUUUCAUGUGUCAGGUAUGUUUGUUGUAUUUUUCCCUUUUGUACUGUUAUCUUGUGGAAGAGAAUCAAAAGGGCAUUACCAUCUAAAAGAGGCUGCUUAUUUGUUUCAUGUGUCAGGAAAUAAAAUGUUCUUGGAGAAGAACCAAAGCCUGCUGUCCUGUAUCUGAUUCAGUGAGGUCACAACGCAGAGUCCAGUUAAUUCACCGGUGUCGCCGGAUGCAUAUAAAGUUUGGCAUCGCGAGUCACCGGUUACACAAAACCUGAGAUGGAUCCAAAGAUGAAGAAACCAGGGUAGGCAUAGGAGUUUACAUACCAACAUUGAAUAUCAUUUCCAUGCUGCAUACUCCGAUACAGUAGGUGGCGGUAUGCACCUGAUAAGUCAUGGUUGCAAUCUGCCAUAAAACGAAAAAGAAGAAGAAGAAGAAGAGUACGGCUGCGAGUGAUGUCAGCAGGAUCCGCAUGCUGGAUAAGAACAGCAUUUGUGAGACGACAUCAACUCAUCAUCCGAGUGGACAAGAACACCAACAGAGGAAGCCAAGCCGCAAAAACAAUGAAAAAUUGUCAUGAC